RNAcentral lists this ribosomal RNA (468 nucleotides) under uncultured bacterium. Its description in RNAcentral is "partial 16S ribosomal RNA". It matches the Rfam family "Bacterial small subunit ribosomal RNA", at positions 28 to 507 of the family's 1533-position model. The record is from RNAcentral.
GACGAACGCUGGCGGCGUGCUUAACACAUGCAAGUCGAACGGAAAGGCCCUGCUUUUGUGGGGUGCUCGAGUGGCGAACGGGUGAGUAACACGUGAGUAACCUGCCCUUGACUUUGGGAUAACUUCAGGAAACUGGGGCUAAUACCGGAUAGGAGCUCCUGCUGCAUGGUGGGGGUUGGAAAGUUUCGGCGGUUGGGGAUGGACUCGCGGCUUAUCAGCUUGUUGGUGGGGUAGUGGCUUACCAAGGCUUUGCCGGGUAGCCGGCCUGAGAGGGUGACCGGCCACAAUGGGACUGAGAUACGGCCCAGACGCCUACGGGAGGCAGCGGUGGGGAAUAUUGCACAAUGGGCGGAAGCCUGAGGCAGCAACGCCGCGUGCGGGAUGACGGCCUUCGGGUUGUAAACCGCUUUCGCCUGUGACGAAGCGUGAGUGACGGUAAUGGGUAAAGAAGCACCGGCUAACUACGUG